GUCUAUGGCCAUGCCACCCUGAACAAGCCCAAUCCCAUCUGAUCUUGGAAGCUAAGCAGGGUUGGACCUGGUUAGUACUUGGAUGGGAGACCACCUAGAAAGACCAGGUGCUGUUGGUG
This 119-nucleotide ribosomal RNA is filed under the name Pteropus alecto (black flying fox). The record is from RNAcentral. Lineage: Eukaryota; Metazoa; Chordata; Mammalia; Chiroptera; Pteropodidae. RNAcentral also lists the same sequence under 1 other name.